Molecule: ribosomal RNA, 253 nt
Filed under: uncultured bacterium
Lineage: Bacteria
Description: partial 16S ribosomal RNA
Rfam family: Bacterial small subunit ribosomal RNA
Source: RNAcentral
UACGUAGGGACCAAGCGUUGUUCGGAUUUACUGGGCGUAAAGGGCGCGUAGGCGGCCUUCUAAGUCAGACGUGAAAUCCCCGGGCUCAACCCGGGAACUGCGUCUGAUACUGGAAGGCUUGAAUCCGGGAGAGGGAUGUGGAAUUCCAGGUGUAGCGGUGAAAUGCGUAGAGAUGUGGAGGAACACCAAUGGCGAAGGCAGCCUUCUGGGCCAACACUGACGCUCAUGCACGAAAGCGUGGGGAGCAAACAGG